Molecule: ribosomal RNA, 1646 nt
Filed under: Escherichia coli
Lineage: Bacteria; Pseudomonadati; Pseudomonadota; Gammaproteobacteria; Enterobacterales; Enterobacteriaceae
Description: partial 23S ribosomal RNA
Rfam family: Bacterial large subunit ribosomal RNA
Source: RNAcentral
CGAAUGCUGACAUAAGUAACGAUAAAGCGGGUGAAAAGCCCGCUCGCCGGAAGACCAAGGGUUCCUGUCCAACGUUAAUCGGGGCAGGGUGAGUCGACCCCUAAGGCGAGGCCGAAAGGCGUAGUCGAUGGGAAACAGGUUAAUAUUCCUGUACUUGGUGUUACUGCGAAGGGGGGACGGAGAAGGCUAUGUUGGCCGGGCGACGGUUGUCCCGGUUUAAGCGUGUAGGCUGAUUUUCCAGGCAAAUCCGGAAAAUCAAGGCUGAGGCGUGAUGACGAGGCACUACGGUGCUGAAGCAACAAAUGCCCUGCUUCCAGGAAAAGCCUCUAAGCAUCAGGUAACAUCAAAUCGUACCCCAAACCGACACAGGUGGUCAGGUAGAGAAUACCAAGGCGCUUGAGAGAACUCGGGUGAAGGAACUAGGCAAAAUGGUGCCGUAACUUCGGGAGAAGGCACGCUGAUAUGUAGGUGAAGCGACUUGCUCGUGGAGCUGAAAUCAGUCGAAGAUACCAGCUGGCUGCAACUGUUUAUUAAAAACACAGCACUGUGCAAACACGAAAGUGGACGUAUACGGUGUGACGCCUGCCCGGUGCCGGAAGGUUAAUUGAUGGGGUUAGCGGUAACGCGAAGCUCUUGAUCGAAGCCCCGGUAAACGGCGGCCGUAACUAUAACGGUCCUAAGGUAGCGAAAUUCCUUGUCGGGUAAGUUCCGACCUGCACGAAUGGCGUAAUGAUGGCCAGGCUGUCUCCACCCGAGACUCAGUGAAAUUGAACUCGCUGUGAAGAUGCAGUGUACCCGCGGCAAGACGGAAAGACCCCGUGAACCUUUACUAUAGCUUGACACUGAACAUUGAGCCUUGAUGUGUAGGAUAGGUGGGAGGCUUUGAAGUGUGGACGCCAGUCUGCAUGGAGCCGACCUUGAAAUACCACCCUUUAAUGUUUGAUGUUCUAACGUUGGCCCGUUAUCCGGGUUGCGGACAGUGUCUGGUGGGUAGUUUGACUGGGGCGGUCUCCUCCUAAAGAGUAACGGAGGAGCACGAAGGUUGGCUAAUCCUGGUCGGACAUCAGGAGGUUAGUGCAAUGGCAUAAGCCAGCUUGACUGCGAGCGUGACGGCGCGAGCAGGUGCGAAAGCAGGUCAUAGUGAUCCGGUGGUUCUGAAUGGAAGGGCCAUCGCUCAACGGAUAAAAGGUACUCCGGGGAUAACAGGCUGAUACCGCCCAAGAGUUCAUAUCGACGGCGGUGUUUGGCACCUCGAUGUCGGCUCAUCACAUCCUGGGGCUGAAGUAGGUCCCAAGGGUAUGGCUGUUCGCCAUUUAAAGUGGUACGCGAGCUGGGUUUAGAACGUCGUGAGACAGUUCGGUCCCUAUCUGCCGUGGGCGCUGGAGAACUGAGGGGGGCUGCUCCUAGUACGAGAGGACCGGAGUGGACGCAUCACUGGUGUUCGGGUUGUCAUGCCAAUGGCACUGCCCGGUAGCUAAAUGCGGAAGAGAUAAGUGCUGAAAGCAUCUAAGCACGAAACUUGCCCCGAGAUGAGUUCUCCCUGACUCCUUGAGAGUCCUGAAGGAACGUUGAAGACGACGACGUUGAUAGGCCGGGUGUGUAAGCGCAGCGAUGCGUUGAGCUAACCGGUACUAAUGAACCGUGAG